CGUAGGGCGAUGCCCUACGCUAAUUUAUAUCGCCCCUUCAGGGCU
RNAcentral lists this small RNA (45 nucleotides) under Flavobacterium subsaxonicum WB 4.1-42 = DSM 21790. RNAcentral's name for it is "Acido-Lenti-1 RNA". It matches the Rfam family "Acido-Lenti-1 RNA". Lineage: Bacteria; Pseudomonadati; Bacteroidota; Flavobacteriia; Flavobacteriales; Flavobacteriaceae. The record is from Rfam by way of RNAcentral.